RNAcentral lists this ribosomal RNA (440 nucleotides) under uncultured bacterium. RNAcentral's name for it is "partial 16S ribosomal RNA". It matches the Rfam family "Bacterial small subunit ribosomal RNA", at positions 338 to 795 of the family's 1533-position model. The record is from RNAcentral.
CCUACGGGUGGCAGCAGUGGGGAAUAUUGGACAAUGGGGGGAACCCUGAUCCAGCGACGCCGCGUGAGUGAAGAAGUAUUUCGGUAUGUAAAGCUUUAUUAGCAGGGAAGAAAAUGACGGUACCUGACUAAGAAGCCCCGGCUAACUACGUGCCAGCAGCCGUGGCAAUACGUAGGGGGCAAGCGUUAUCCGGAUUUACUGGGUGUAAAGGGAGCGUAGACGGUGCAGCAAGUCUGAUGUGAAAGGUCGGGGCCCAACCCCGGGACUGCAUUGGAAACUGUUGAACUGGAGUACAGGAGAGGUAAGCGGAAUUCGCGGUGUAGCGGUGAAAUGCGUAGAUAUUGGGAGGAACACCAGUGGCGAAGGCGGCCAACUGGGCUUUAACUGACGCUGAGGCUCGAAAGUGUGGGGAGCGAACAGGAUUAGAUACCCUUGUAGUC